This 735-nucleotide long non-coding RNA is filed under the name Nicotiana tabacum (common tobacco). Its description in RNAcentral is "long non-coding RNA (NTAB_LNC008162)". The record is from RNAcentral. Lineage: Eukaryota; Viridiplantae; Streptophyta; Magnoliopsida; Solanales; Solanaceae.
GAAAUUCUCCCAUAGUUGAUCGUUAUAAAACUGAGGGUCUAUCUCAAAUUACAGUGGAUUCUGGCAAUAUGAAUGUACGUUAUAAAACUAAUUAGUCUAUGCAAACUUUAUCGCAAAUGGUCAAUAGAACAGUUAAACUAAAGAUAAAGAAAAAACAAUACACCACCAUUUGCGCGCUAUAUGAUAAAUUCAAGAAUUGCUUAGUACUGAUACACUAUCAAAUACUAAUAAAGACACUUGCUUUGGUGAGGAAGAAUGCAGAAGGAAGCUAUCUCUGAAUAUCAGCAUUAUUGUCUUCAUAUACUAGUUCUCUCCAUGUUGUUGAACAUUCAGCUCUGCCCCUGCAUAUAAAAAAGGAAGAACAGACAUGUCAAUUACCAAUCACAAAGUUCCAAGGAAUAUCGAUUAAAUGACUUAACUAAAAUAUACGUAUUGACAAGGUACCAACCGAGGUCUUCCCCAAUCCCAGGGCCACAUACUUUGUAUUUACCUUCUAAUUAUGGCCUGCAAUUCUCUUCUCCUUUGCUCAAUUCUUCUUCUCCAUGGUAACAUAACCACUACCCUUCUUACUCUUUUUGUCAGUUUUCUUCUCAUUCUUCUUCCUUUCACCCUCCUGUUCACCACCUUCUUUCCCAACUGUUUCGUCACUGCUCUUCUUCUUAUUCUAAUUGUCUUCUUCCUCUUCAAGUUUUCUACCCAUUUUCCCCACCAUUUCUUCACACCACCCAUCUUCUU